GGGAGGCGACGGGCCUCGGCCUGCGGAACCUGAGGCAGCCGGGGAGGGCCGGGCGCGCCGGCCGGAUAGCGAGCCGCGCUGGCGGCGGCGGUGGCCGCGAUGAUGGAGAUCCAGAUGGACGAGGGCGGCGGCGUGGUGGUGUACCAGGACGACUACUGCUCCGGCUCGGUGAUGUCGGAGCGGGUGUCGGGCCUGGCGGGCUCCAUCUACCGCGAGUUCGAGCGCCUCAUCCACUGCUACGACGAGGAGGUGGUCAAGGAGCUCAUGCCGCUAGUGGUGAACGUGCUGGAGAACCUAGACUCGGUGCUCAGCGAGAACCAGGAGCACGAGGUGGAGCUGGAGCUGCUGCGCGAGGACAACGAGCAGCUGCUCACCCAGUACGAGCGCGAGAAGGCGCUGCGCAGGCAGGCGGAGGAGAAAUUCAUUGAGUUUGAAGAUGCUCUGGAACAAGAGAAGAAAGAGCUGCAAAUCCAGGUGGAGCACUACGAGUUCCAGACGCGCCAGCUGGAGCUGAAGGCCAAGAACUAUGCUGAUCAGAUUUCCCGGUUGGAGGAGCGGGAGUCGGAGAUGAAGAAGGAGUACAACGCCCUGCACCAGCGGCACACAGAGAUGAUACAGACCUACGUGGAGCACAUUGAGAGGUCCAAGAUGCAGCAGGUCGGAGGAAACAGCCAGACUGAGAGCAGCCUGCCGGGGCGGAGGAAGGAGCGCCCCACCUCCCUGAACGUGUUCCCCCUGGCUGACGGCACGGUACGUGCACAGAUCGGGGGCAAGCUCGUGCCUGCGGGGGACCACUGGCACCUGAGUGACCUCGGCCAGCUGCAGUCCAGCUCCAGCUACCAGGUUUUGUAGCCGUGCUGUGGAGUGAGAGGCUCCUCCCUGUUGCUGGUGUUCCCCGUUCACUGGGGCGGGAACCUCGUCUGCAGGCAGCUCCUUCGCGGCUCUCUGGGCCACUCGCCCUCUCCCUUUGUGUGUGGCAGGAUGGAGAAAGCCAGCCAGGGUAUCAGGGGCUUGCGCUGCCCAGCAGGCCCUGUGUGGCUGUGGCUGCUCCACGCGGCCUCGCGUUGGCACCUGCUAGUACAGGCUAGACCUCCCUGCCCUUGGAUAGACCGCUCUGUAGCCAGGGGUGUACAGUGCCUGUCAGGGUUGAGCUUAGUGAUCCUCUCUCAAACCACACCCCCACGUAAAGCCUCACACUCACCCGGGCUCCAGCCAGACACAUCCUGCCCUUGAGAGCCGCGCCUCUGCUCUCAGAGGAACGUCAGUGUCUAGAGUGUGGGGUUUGCCCUCCGCUGGCAGAAAGGUGAGGAGAAAGCUCCUCUUCUCUGGGCCCCUCCCUGCCUGUCCCUGGUAAUGCCUCCUGGGUCCUGAGUUUGAGAAAGCAGAGCCUCGCCCCAGCAGGUACUCACAGCCAGAGUGCGGGGGCCCUAGCAGGUACUCACAGCCAGAGCGCGGGGGCCCCAACAGGUUCUCACAGCCAGCCAGUGAGUGCACCUCAGAGCGCGGGGGACCAGAGCCAGGCCACUCCUUUAGGGCCCCAGGUCGCUUGCUGCCGGUUUUGGCCUGUGAGCUCACUGGCCUCAGUGCCAGGUAAGGACAGCCACCUUCCUGGGAAGAGGAGGUGACCCUGGGUCUGGUGGAUUUCCCACAGGGGCCGUCGGAGGAUGUCCACAGAGGCAGAGCCCUUGGGGCCUGUGGGCUGGGUUGGGCUGGUGGAUGUGGGGUCUGGGACUUCUCCAGGAGCUUACUUCCUGCUGCACACUUUGCCGACUGUCCUGCCACCUCUGAGUGUCCAUUGGGCCUGUGGGGGCUGCUGCAGGCUCCUGCUCCGUCAGCCCGCCUGCUGCUGCGCUGCUGUGGGAGCGAGCUCCCCCGUGGCAUCUGGGACGCUCUCCUGUCCUCUCCGUGCUCAGGGCUGGAGAGAGGGCGGCGGGGCUGCAGGCUCCCCUGGCCUUCUGGGCCCAGCCCUGCCACUUGGGCCCACCUCCUCUCACUCUCUCUGGCUCACACUCCCCGGGCCUGGAGCUGGGACCUGCCCAUAGGCAUCUGAAGACAUGUCAGCCUCAGCCAGGGGGAGCCCUUGCUUGACGCUCUCUGGCCUCCGGGCUGCCUCUCGCGCCCGCUCUGGGCCCGCUCUUCUUCUCAUGAUGUCUUUCCUUUCACCUCCUGCGUUGUCUGACAUCGUCUCUCUUUUCAUAAAUUGUAGCGUUUUAUGUUUUCGUUCAUAGGUGUGUUUUAUUUGAUUUUUCUUUAUUUUAAAUUAUUACAUUUAAGUUCUUUUUAUUUUAUGCUCUAGGUUUUGAAGUUUUUCUAAUUUCUUAAUUUUUUUGUUGUUUUUUGUUUUGUUUUGUUUUUGUUUUUAUGUACUGUAUUUUCAGUGUUUUAACCAAACAGUUGUGGCUACUCAUGGUGAGGAAUGACCGCUAAGAGUUUGGGUUCUUUCAAUGCAUUUGGAGGUCACUGCUACACGUUGAUGUUUAGGAGGUUGAGAGGUUUGCCUUUAGGUAAGUUGUGGCCAGGGGGAGUGUCCCAUGGGUAAGUGGUGGCCCCAUAGGGUGACAGAGAGCUAGGGGAGGCGCAGUCAGACUGCAGAAUUCCCCACAGCCUCCAGGAGGGCCAGGAGUAGGCCGGGGACCCAGAAGCGUUUGUCUGAUGUGCACAGCUACACCCUGCCUGGCCACAUGGGGUUCCCUGUUUUCUCUCUGCCGGGUGGUGGCAGAGUCGGUGGGACACCAGGUGCCUGUGAUGCAUUGGGUAGACAGGUUCUUUGAGAGCGUCAGCGCAGACUCUUGCAUGAGCGGUACUCGCUUCCUCCAGCGUGGGUAGUGACAUGAAGAGCAAGAGUUUUCCUCUCAAACUGGGCAUAGCUGCAGAGCCACAGCCUGUCUCAGACAUUUCUACAAAGGCACUCCGGGAGGCGGGCUGCGCCCGUGUAGGGCUCUCCCUAGGCACCGCUCACCUUUUGGGGCUGGACAUGCGUGGCCCUGGGCCGCUGGGACGCGGUGGGUGUGGAGCAGCAUCCCUGGCUUCCACCCACGAAUGCCAGGAGCACUCCCUUCGUUUGUGACCACAAAAAUGUCUCUGGACUUUGCAAGCAUCCCCUCGGGGCAGUCAGCCCAACUGAGAAUGGCUACUAUAGAGGAAGGUGUGUCAUUUUGAGAUUCCUUCUAGAGAAACUUAGGAGCCUGGUAGAUGAAGCAGAAAUCUGUCCUCUGAGCGAGUGGCCGUGUCUGGUACUGAGAGGCCCUGUGCCCUGAGCCUGGCGGUGACCAGAGAGGCUGGGCAGAGGCAGAGGUCAGAACUGGCCAUGACUUCUGGAAGUCCUGUCUGCCCUGGGCACUUAAAGGCCAGUAUAAGUCAGCUAUGGAGAGGGCUGGAUACCCCCUCGACAGCUCCUCCCUGGGUGAGAUCCUUAGCAUUAGAGUCCCCCACGGUGCGCCCUCUGAGAGACCACGGGACCCCCCCAGUGGCUGCCUGGGACAGGCACAGGAGCUACCUGGGUGCCUCUGAGGCCUUGCCCUUUCCUACACCUCAAGGAGGGCCAGGGGCCACGGGCAGGCUCUGCUACAGGGGGUGAUCAGGUCAGCUAAGAGGAGAACGUUUGGGGCUCUUUUUCUCGGGCUGGUUCAGUAUCUUCGUUAGGAAAGACCAUCGGAAAGAAUGUUUGUUUCGCGUUCCAUAUUAGUCACAUAGAAUGUGCUCCUCCCUAGUGAGCUUCCUGAGGUAGACAGCUGGUUGCAGUUUCUCAUAAUCUGGGCUGCCCCCACCCUCCAGAAUAUCUUGGUGGCGUCCCAUUCUGUGAGAAGGGGAUUGUGGUUUCUUUGCUCUUGCACUGGUGUUCAGGGCUGAGCUCUGGUCCAGUCAAGCCGCAGGGUCAGCACCUUCUGGUCACUCCCUGGCCCUGACCUGAGCCCAGGGAGGAACGUGGGGCAGGCGCAGGUGGGCCCAGCCUCAAGCUCUUCAGCACAGUGAUGGUGACGGGGCAGCGGUGGCGGAACAGCCAGCCCUUCUUGGGUCCCCAGUCAGAGCCCUCUGCCCUACCUGGGCUGGACUUGUUUCUGAACAGCCACAAGCUACAGGGGGCCGCCGCUGUGUCGCCGGCGAGGCGCUGGCCCAUUACAAGCAAUUGUCUGGGGAGGGCGCCAGUUGAGAGCCCCGUUCCAAGCCAUUUCAGGAGGGUGGCACUGCUUCUGAGGAGCCAGAGUCAGCGGCCGGAUGAGCAGAGCCACUCAGGAGUGGUGAGGCCCGGAAGGGUUAGCCCGGCGGGCGGCAGAGGAGCUCUGGCCCGCAAGGUGUUGAGCGAGGCAAAGUGCAAGGCAUUGGUGUGCGGUUCCUCAGGCAGCCAUGCCGGAGCCGCAGGCCAGGGACCUGCAGUGACUCGCUCUCCCUCCUCCCUGUGUUUGGCCUUAGUGUCCACAGGAUGAAAUGUCUGAGUCAGGCCAGUCCUCGGC
RNAcentral lists this small RNA (4451 nucleotides) under Pongo abelii (Sumatran orangutan). RNAcentral's name for it is "retained intron". The record is from RNAcentral. Lineage: Eukaryota; Metazoa; Chordata; Mammalia; Primates; Hominidae.